RNAcentral lists this ribosomal RNA (406 nucleotides) under uncultured bacterium. RNAcentral describes it as "partial 16S ribosomal RNA". It matches the Rfam family "Bacterial small subunit ribosomal RNA", at positions 30 to 526 of the family's 1533-position model. The record is from RNAcentral.
AUUGAACGCUGGCGGCAGGCCUAACACAUGCAAGUCGAACGAGUGGCGGACGGGUGAGUAAUGUCUGGGAAACUGCCUGAUGGAGGGGGAUAACUACUGGAAACGGUAGCUAAUACCGCAUACCAUCAGAUGUGCCCAGAUGGGAUUAGCUUGUUGGUGGGGUAACGGCUAACCAAGGCGACGAUCCCUAGCUGGUCUGAGAGGAUGACCGGCCACACGGGAAUGGAGACACGGUCCAGACUCGUACGUGAGGCAGCAGUGGGGAAUAUUGCACAAUGGGCGCAAGCCUUAUGCAGCCAGGCCGCGUGGAGGAAGAAGGCCUUCGGGUUGUAAAGUACUUUCAGCGGGGAGGCGUUACCCGCAGAAGAAGCACCGGCUAACUCCGUGCCAGCAGCCGCGGUAAUAC